AGCAUCCGUAGCUCGUUUUGUAAGUUUUCGGUUAAAUCCAUGCGCUUAACGUAUGGGCUGCCGGGAAUACUGCAUAACUAGGAAGUGGGAGAGGUAGACGGUACUCGGUAGGAAGGGGUAAAAUCCUUUGAUCUAUUGAUGACCACCUGUGGCGAAGGCGGUCUACCAGAACACGUUCGACGGUGAGGGAUGAAAGCUGGGGGAGCAAACCGGAUUAGAUACCCGGGUAGUCCCAGCUGUAAACGAUGCAGACUCGGUGAUGCAUUGGCUUGUGGCCAGUGCAGUGCCGCAGGGAAGCCGUUAAGUUUGCCGCCUGGGAAGUACGUACGCAAGUAUGAAACUUAAAGGAAUUGGCGGGGGAGCACAAGCCG
RNAcentral lists this ribosomal RNA (371 nucleotides) under uncultured Nitrososphaerota archaeon. RNAcentral's name for it is "bacterial SSU rRNA". It matches the Rfam family "Archaeal small subunit ribosomal RNA", at positions 514 to 888 of the family's 1478-position model. The record is from RNAcentral. Lineage: Archaea; Thermoproteati; Nitrososphaerota.